This 1483-nucleotide ribosomal RNA is filed under the name uncultured bacterium. Its description in RNAcentral is "bacterial SSU rRNA". It matches the Rfam family "Bacterial small subunit ribosomal RNA". The record is from RNAcentral.
AGAGUUUGAUCCUGGCUCAGGAUGAACGCUAGCGACAGGCCUAACACAUGCAAGUCGAGGGGCAGCACAUGAGUAGCAAUACGAUGGUGGCGACCGGCGCACGGGUGAGUAUCGCGUAUGCAACCUACCUUCCACAGGGGGAUAGCCUUCCGAAAGGGAGAUUAAUACCGCAUAAAACAGGGGCCCCGCAUGGGGAUAUUUGUUAAAGAUUUAUCGGUGGGAGAUGGGCAUGCGUUCCAUUAGCUAGUUGGCGGGGUAAUGGCCCACCAAGGCAUCGAUGGAUAGGGGAACUGAGAGGUUUAUCCCCCACACUGGAACUGAGACACGGUCCAGACUCCUACGGGAGGCAGCAGUGAGGAAUAUUGGUCAAUGGGCGGGAGCUGAACCAGCCAAGUCGCGUGAAGGAAGACGGUUCUAUGGAUUGUAAACUUCUUUUGCACUGGGGUAAAACGGGGGACGUGUCCCCCCUUGCAAGUACAGUGCGAAUAAGCAUCGGCUAACUCCGUGCCAGCAGCCGCGGUAAUACGGAGGAUGCGAGCGUUAUCCGGAUUUAUUGGGUUUAAAGGGUGCGUAGGCGGCCCCUUAAGUCAGCGGUAAAAUUUCUGCGCUCAACGCAGUCGUGCCGUUGAAACUGGGGGGCUUGAGUCUAGAUGAAGUGGGCGGAAUUUGUAGUGUAGCGGUGAAAUGCAUAGAUAUUACAAGGAACUCCGAUUGCGCAGGCAGCUCACUAAGCUAUCACUGACGCUGAAGCACGAAAGCGUGGGUAUCAAACAGGAUUAGAUACCCUGGUAGUCCACGCAGUAAACGAUGAUUACUCGCUGUUUGCGAUAUACAGCAAGCGGCUUAGCGAAAGCGUUAAGUAAUCCACCUGGGGAGUACGCCGGCAACGGUGAAACUCAAAGGAAUUGACGGGGGCCCGCACAAGCGGAGGAACAUGUGGUUUAAUUCGAUGAUACGCGAGAACCUUACCCGGGCUUGAAAUGCAGAGGAAUUACGUGGAAACAUGUACGCCGGCAACGGCCUCUGUGUAGGUGCUGCAUGGUUGUCGUCAGCUCGUGCCGUGAGGUGUCGGCUUAAGUGCCAUAACGAGCGCAACCCUCAUCGGUAGUUACCAUCAGGUCAUGCUGGGGACUCUACCGAGACUGCCGCCGUAAGGUGUGAGGAAGGUGGGGAUGACGUCAAAUCAGCACGGCCCUUACGUCCGGGGCGACACACGUGUUACAAUGGGGGGGACAAAGGGCAGCUACCUGGCGACAGGAUGCUAAUCUCCAAACCCCCUCUCAGUUCGGAUCGGAGUCUGCAACUCGACUCCGUGAAGCUGGAUUCGCUAGUAAUCGCGCAUCAGCCAUGGCGCGGUGAAUACGUUCCCGGGCCUUGUGCACACCGCCCGUCAAGCCAUGAAAGCCGGGGGUACCUGAAGUACGUAACCGCAAGGAGCGUCCUAGGGUAAAACUGGUGAUUGGGGCUAAGUCGUAACAAGGUA